AGACCCUCCUCCUGAACUAAGGUACUGGCUAAUAGAGGCCCCCUCCUCCUGAACUAAGGUACAGGCUAAUAGAGACCCUCCUCCUGAACUAAGGUACUGGCUAAUAGAGGCCCCCUCCUCCACCCUCCUGAACUAAGAUACUGGCUAAUAGACCCCCUCCUCCUAUACUACGGUACCAGCUAAGAGAGCCCCACCCCUCCUAAAGUAAUAGAGGGCAUCCUCCUCUUAAGCUAAGGUACUGGCUAAUAUAGCCCACCCCAUCUCUUAAUCUAAGGUACUGGCUAAUAGAGGGCCCCCUCCUCCUCUUAAUCUAAGGUACUGGCUAACAGAGACCUCCCUCCUCCUGAACUAAGGUACUGGCUAAUAGAGGCCCCCUCCUCCUGAACUAAGGUACUGG
Molecule: long non-coding RNA, 397 nt
Organism: Oncorhynchus tshawytscha (Chinook salmon)
Lineage: Eukaryota; Metazoa; Chordata; Actinopteri; Salmoniformes; Salmonidae
Source: Ensembl